UUAGGACAAAAAAGAAAGGGAAGAAGGAGAAAUGGAAGGUAUUGUGGGAGACGAGCUAAAUCACCAUCUUCCAUUUUCAAAAUGCAGGCUGGCGAAAAACACGUUGGAUCAGCUUCUGCUUCCUGUUUGCUUGUUUUCUGUAGGUUGCGGUUUGUGAACUGAAUCUCUACCAGGAGCUUCCCUCUCGGCAGGGAUGAGGGAGAGGGACUGUAAGCAGUUUUCUGUGGGUGAGAUCAUCUCCUACAUAUUGAUUGGACCAGAGAAUGUUUACGAUACAGUCAAUGCCAUUUUAAAGGAAGAUCAAGGGAUCAAGGCCAAGUCCAAAAAUUUUACAACAAGAUGAAUAAUUUCUUCCAUUUAAAAUCCUAUGUUUCCAUAGGUCUAAUUUUCUGAAAUAUAAUUUACACCAUUACAAUAGGAAGAAAAUAAUUUAAAUAUCUGCACAAAAUGGUAUCACCCCAUUGGUCUUUUAGCUUUCAUUGGGAGCAUCAGCUUUUCGUAAUAAAGACGCAUCAGUGUAAGUUUUCUAUCUCUGGAUCAUUUAAUACAAGAAAAAUGCAAAUGCAAAUAAAACCUCCAAAAACCAAAAAGCAAAACUCACGAAGCUCAUCCUAGAAGGACUGUCCCAAGUCUGCUGAUGCUUGUUUGUAUUACUUUACUGAAAGGACAUUUACACACAUUUGUAACAUGCUCUCAUGGAACUGAACAGGAGGAAGACACUUCCCCCAGGAGCGGAUCCAAGGCUGUUCGCUGUUCCCAUUGACGUUGGUGUUCUCCACGCGCAGAAGCAACAGCGAACCCCCGAAAAUCAAACCACUGAAGGAUGGCGAGUACGGAAACCGCAACUCCACCACAUGUAAUGAUCUUAGUGAAAACCAACCAUAUUAGAGUGGCUUGACCUUUGGAAAUUCAGCCUUUCCCUGAUAAAUACAGCUGUGGUUUCAGUGGAGCCGUCUCGUAUGGCUGUGGAAUAGGACACAGUUAGUUAGCUGCUCCCUGACACUCAGGGCCAAACCGUUAUAUUUUUUUAUUCUGCAACUGAAUAUUAAUACCCCACUGCAACAAGAGUUUCAUCCAUAUUCUUUAACACAUAAAGUCUGCCAUCACCUCUAGUUUAUAAAAGUCAAGCCAGUGAAGAUCAGAAGAAAGGAAAUAAAAAGGUUCAUCUGAUUUUUUAUUAAGGUGUAAUUUACAUGCUAUUAAAUUCAAG
This is a long non-coding RNA of Equus caballus (horse), 1210 nucleotides long. The record is from Ensembl. NCBI's taxonomy places the organism in Eukaryota, Metazoa, Chordata, Mammalia, Perissodactyla, Equidae.